AACGCAUAUUGCGCUCUUUGGUAUUCCGAAGAGCAUGCUUGUUUGAGUAUCAGUAAACACCUCAAAGCUUUUGGAUUUUUUUUUUUUUGAAAGCUUUGGACUUGAGCAAUCCCAACACCAAUCUUUUUCAGAUCGGCGGCGGGUUGCUUGAAAUGCAGGUGCAGCUGGACUUUCUCCUGAGCUAAAAGCAUAUUCAUUUAGUCCCGUCAAACGGAUUAUUACUUUUGCUGCAGCUAACAUAAAGGGAGUUUGACCGCAUUGGCUGACUGAUGCAGGAUUUCACAAGGGUCGGCAACGAUUCUUGUUAAACUCGAUCUCAAAUCAAGUAAGACUACCCGCUGAACUUAA
RNAcentral lists this unclassified non-coding RNA (348 nucleotides) under uncultured Mortierella. RNAcentral's name for it is "sequence contains ITS2". Lineage: Eukaryota; Fungi; Mortierellomycota; Mortierellomycetes; Mortierellales; Mortierellaceae. The record is from RNAcentral.